UGGUAUCGGGACUAACAAGAAUGGUUGGGACAACAAACAUCCAUCUCGUUCGUACUUUGGAUACCCCGGACGACUCACCAAAGCACGAAAGCCAGGUCAGAAAAUGGAUUCCUAUUCGAAGUGUGCAUAACCGCAUGGAUAAGCUCCGGCCUCCUCCAUUUUUAUAGUACUUUCGAUCCCAUAAGAGGAACUCCUUUGCUUUGGCAUACAAUGGUUAAUUGGAAGAAAGCGAUUCUGCUCAACUCAGA
Molecule: long non-coding RNA, 248 nt
Filed under: Phoenix dactylifera (date palm)
Lineage: Eukaryota; Viridiplantae; Streptophyta; Magnoliopsida; Arecales; Arecaceae
Description: long non-coding RNA (PDAC_LNC011142)
Source: RNAcentral